Molecule: ribosomal RNA, 492 nt
Filed under: uncultured bacterium
Lineage: Bacteria
Description: partial 16S ribosomal RNA
Rfam family: Bacterial small subunit ribosomal RNA
Source: RNAcentral
AGUGAACGCUGGCAGUAGGCCUAACACAUGCGAGUCGAACGGCAGCACAGUAAGAGCUUGCUCUUACGGGUGGCGAGUGGCGGACGGGUGAGGAAUACAUCGGAAUCUACUUUUUCGUGGGUGAUAACGUAGGGAAACUUACGCUAAUACCUCAUACGACCUACGGGUGAAAGCAGGGGAUCUUCGGACCUUUCGCGAUUGAAUGAGCCGAUGUCGGAUUAGCUAGUUGGCGGGGUAAAGGCCCACCAAGGCGACGAUCCGUAGCUGGUCUGAGAGGAUGAUCAGCCACACUGGAACUGAGACACGGUCCAGACUCCUACGGGAGGCAGCAGUGGGGAAUAUUGGACAAUGGGCGAAAGCCUGAUCCAGCCAUACCGCGUGGGUGAAGAAGGCCUUCGGGUUGUAAAGCCCUUUUGUUGGGAAAGAAAAGCAGCAGGUUAAUACCCCGCUGUUCUGACGGUACCCAAAGAAUAAGCACCGGCUAACUUCGUG